This 553-nucleotide ribosomal RNA is filed under the name uncultured Curtobacterium sp. RNAcentral's name for it is "bacterial SSU rRNA". It matches the Rfam family "Bacterial small subunit ribosomal RNA", at positions 342 to 905 of the family's 1533-position model. The record is from RNAcentral. Lineage: Bacteria; Bacillati; Actinomycetota; Actinomycetes; Micrococcales; Microbacteriaceae.
CGGGAGGCAGCAGUGGGGAAUAUUGCACAAUGGGCGAAAGCCUGAUGCAGCAACGCCGCGUGAGGGAUGACGGCCUUCGGGUUGUAAACCUCUUUUAGUAGGGAAGAAGCGAAAGUGACGGUACCUGCAGAAAAAGCACCGGCUAACUACGUGCCAGCAGCCGCGGUAAUACGUAGGGUGCAAGCGUUGUCCGGAAUUAUUGGGCGUAAAGAGCUCGUAGGCGGUUUGUCGCGUCUGCUGUGAAAUCCCGAGGCUCAACCUCGGGSUUGCAGUGGGUACGGGCAGACUAGAGUGCGGUAGGRGAGAUUGGAAUUCCUGGUGUAGCGGUGGAAUGCGCAGAUAUCARGAGGAACASCGAUGGCGAAGGCAGAUCUCUGGGCCGUAACUGACGCUGAGGAGCGAAAGCGUGGGGAGCGAACAGGAUUAGAUACCCUGGUAGUCCACGCCGUAAACGUUGGGCGCUAGAUGUAGGGACCUUUCCACGGUUUCUGUGUCGUAGCUAACGCAUUAAGCGCCCCGCCUGGGGAGUACGGCCGCAAGGCUAAAACUCAAA